CCCAUUGUAUCCACUGAAAACACAGAACUGAUUUGAUAUUUUCAGCCCGAAUAAAUAUAAUCAUUUGUGAACUCGGGACGCAUGUGCUUCCAUGGCGCAUGGUACUAAAUGUGCUGAGAGCCCUGUACAUGACAUGUUUCUCUGGAAGACAAAUUAUUCUGACUCUGUUCGGUGCUCCUCUAAUGGGGCAAAGGAUUCGCACAUUAGCCUGGAAGCUCAUAGCAUUUCUGAAAUGGUAGGCAGUGAGGCUUUUCCACUUAGGUUAUAUGAAGUCAAACACUGACUUAAAGGUAAAACACUGGUACUACUGCUUGUACACUACCGUUCAAAAGUUUGGGGUCACCCAGACAAUUUUGUGUUUUCCAUGAAAAGUCACACUUUUAUUUACCACCAUCAGUUGUAAAAUGAAUAGAAAAUAUAGACCCCUUUGCAGUAAACGUCAUUCAUACGUAAGAGGAAAUUGCACGCACAGCCUGGACUCAAAAAAGACUCAGCGAUGCCUAGUUGUUGUGUUGUCGGGUGUCAGAAUCGUAGCAGUGAUGGGGUUAAACUGUACAGAAUUCCAGCAGGAUCUCACCCAUUCCAAAAAAAUCGCCGACGUCUAUGACUACAAGCCAUCAAACGUGCAGACUGGGAUGAAAGCGCCAUCAAAAAUGCGUGGGUUUGCAGCGCCCACUUCAUCACAGGAGAGGUCUCGCUUGACUCAAGCAGUCCAGAUUUUGUGCCAUCAUUAUUUGUGUAUGCCGAAAAUCACAAUUUUAAAGCAAGGAUGGAAAGCCUGCAAGAAAAGCAUUUAAAAAGAAGCAGAAGGAGAUAGUAAAGACCUUGAACCCCAACACCUGACAAGUGGACAUGAAGCUCCAUCAUCUUGGCAUGUAUAUUUGGCUCACAUUUAAGGGCAGAUGG
This is a long non-coding RNA of Neoarius graeffei (lesser salmon catfish), 906 nucleotides long. RefSeq lists it as uncharacterized. The record is from RefSeq and is a predicted model, not a curated record. The transcript is spliced from 3 exons. NCBI's taxonomy places the organism in Eukaryota, Metazoa, Chordata, Actinopteri, Siluriformes, Ariidae.